GUGCUCACUUGGGCAGCACAUACACUAAAAUUGGAACCAUACAGAGAAGAUCAGCAUGGCCUCUGGGCAAGGAUAACAUACAAAUUUGAGAAGUGUUCCAUAUUUAA
RNAcentral lists this small nuclear RNA (107 nucleotides) under Spermophilus dauricus (Daurian ground squirrel). Lineage: Eukaryota; Metazoa; Chordata; Mammalia; Rodentia; Sciuridae. The record is from RNAcentral.